Molecule: microRNA precursor, 94 nt
Filed under: Branchiostoma floridae (Florida lancelet)
Lineage: Eukaryota; Metazoa; Chordata; Leptocardii; Amphioxiformes; Branchiostomatidae
Description: mir-2060 microRNA precursor family
Rfam family: mir-2060 microRNA precursor family
Source: Rfam by way of RNAcentral
GUUUACUUUUGUGUGGAGGGUGUUCAGCACUAAGGACAGGUCAGUUUAACUGUGUUAAGAUGGUAUUCAGCACCAGGAACAGGUAUGCAACCAC